This 448-nucleotide ribosomal RNA is filed under the name uncultured bacterium. Its description in RNAcentral is "bacterial SSU rRNA". It matches the Rfam family "Bacterial small subunit ribosomal RNA", at positions 329 to 794 of the family's 1533-position model. The record is from RNAcentral.
UCCCAGACUCCUACGGGAGGCAGCAGUGGGGAAUAUUGCACAAUGGGGGAAACCCUGAUGCAGCGACGCCGCGUGAGUGAAGAAGUAUCUCGGUACGUAAAGCUCUAUCAGCAGGGAAGAAAAUGACGGUACCUGAUUAAGAAGCCCCGGCUAACUACGUGCCAGCAGCCGCGGUAAUACGUAGGGGGCAAGCGUUAUCCGGAUUUACUGGGUGUAAAGGGUGCGUAGACGGGUUAGCAAGUUAGUUGUGAAAUCCCUCGGCUUAACUGAGGAACUGCAACUAAAACUGCCAAUCUUGAGUGCAGGAGAGGUAAGUGGAAUUCCUAGUGUAGCGGUGAAAUGCGUAGAUAUUAGGAGGAACACCAGUGGCGAAGGCGACUUACUGGACUGUAACUGACGUUGAGGCACGAAAGUGUGGGGAGCAAACAGGAUUAGAUACCCUGGUAGA